GAUGAAGAACGUAGCGAAAUGCGAUAAGUAAUGUGAAUUGCAGAAUUCAGUGAAUCAUCGAAUCUUUGAACGCACCUUGCACCCUUUGGCAUUCUGAAGGGUAUGCUCGUUUGAGUGUCAUUGUACUCUCACUCUCCCGAUGCUUUUGGAUCGGGAGUGGUGGACUUGGGUGUUGCUGCUUUGCUGUGGCUCGCCUCAAAUGGAGUAGUGCAACUCUUGGUUGGACAUAGUACGGCGUGAUAAGUGUCUUCGCCGGCGCCUCAUUAUAGAGGGUGGCCGAUCGGGAGCUCUGUGCUUCAAACCGUCUUCGGACAACAUCUGACAACUUGACCUCAAAUCGAGUAGGACUACCCGCUGAACUUAAGCAUAUCAAUAAGCGGAGGA
Molecule: unclassified non-coding RNA, 384 nt
Filed under: soil metagenome
Description: partial contains 5.8S ribosomal RNA, internal transcribed spacer 2, and large subunit ribosomal RNA
Rfam family: 5.8S ribosomal RNA (bases 1-120)
Source: RNAcentral